GUGGGUAUAGCUUAGUGGUAGAGCACCUGCUUAGCAUGCAUGAGGUCCUGGGUUCAAUCCCCAGUCUCUCCA
Molecule: transfer RNA, 72 nt
Filed under: Camelus dromedarius (Arabian camel)
Lineage: Eukaryota; Metazoa; Chordata; Mammalia; Artiodactyla; Camelidae
Also listed under: 1 other name
Rfam family: tRNA
About the family: Transfer RNA (tRNA) molecules are approximately 80 nucleotides in length.
Source: Rfam by way of RNAcentral